CGCCUCUAGAUUACUAUAUUAAAGGUCCAUCCUGCCCAAUGACAAAGUUUAAAUGGCCGCGGUACCCUGACCGUGCUAAGGUAGCAUAAUCAUUUGCCUCUUAAUUGGUGGCUAGUAUGAAUGGACACACGCAAGUACCCCUGUCUCAUCAGCAUAUAUAAAAAUUACCAAUCAGGUGAAGAGGCCUGAAUGAAAUAAAAAGACAAAAAGACCCUAUGGAGCUUUAUUUAACACCUCAAUGCCACCAGCUAACACCAUCCCACUUUGAGCAAAUAAAUUUAGUUGGGGCGACUAAGGAAAACUAUAAAUCUUCCUCAUAAAAAAGAAAAUAAAUCCUCAUUGAUCCGUUAUACGAAUAAAGACACAGCUACCCUAGGGAUAACAGGCUAAUUCUUCUCGAGAGCCCAAAUUGACAGAAGAGAUUGGCACCUCGAUGUUGGCUUAGGGUUCCUACAGGGUGCAGAAGCC
RNAcentral lists this ribosomal RNA (468 nucleotides) under Laonice sp. D GT-2019. RNAcentral's name for it is "partial 16S ribosomal RNA". It matches the Rfam family "Bacterial large subunit ribosomal RNA", at positions 1829 to 2563 of the family's 2925-position model. The record is from RNAcentral. Lineage: Eukaryota; Metazoa; Annelida; Polychaeta; Spionida; Spionidae.